Molecule: ribosomal RNA, 401 nt
Filed under: Triticum aestivum (bread wheat)
Lineage: Eukaryota; Viridiplantae; Streptophyta; Magnoliopsida; Poales; Poaceae
Description: partial small subunit ribosomal RNA
Source: RNAcentral
GUGACGGAACUGAAGCCCGAAUGGCUGGUGGAAAUUGCUCCGCACUACUACCAACUAAAAGAUGUGGACGACGCUGGUUCAAAGAAGCUGCCCAAGGGCCAAGGACGAGCUGCAUUGUAGACUGCCUGGACUCAUGAAGCCAGCGUUUGGACAGAUUAGAUGUUGCGUAAACAGUUUAGUUUCGAAUAUCGGAUCGGGAUCCCUUUUCUACCUUCUCUUAGAUUACAUUAUAUCACUCACCAGGUCCUGUCAACAUGACCCACCGUUCUUGUACAAGUUUGUGGGUGUGGGUAGAGCUGUAGACAGUUUGGCACAACCCAGCGUUGAUGCCGGGACCCUCAGUCCUUCGUCAUGCUGGUUAUCAAACAAACAUACAUUGGCUACCACUAUACUACAAUCCA